Molecule: transfer RNA, 75 nt
Filed under: Planctomycetota bacterium
Lineage: Bacteria; Pseudomonadati; Planctomycetota
Description: tRNA-Cys
Rfam family: tRNA
About the family: Transfer RNA (tRNA) molecules are approximately 80 nucleotides in length. Their secondary structure includes four short double-helical elements and three loops (D, anti-codon, and T loops).
Source: RNAcentral
GCACCCGUGGACCGAGCGGUGAGGCGACGGACUGCAAAUCCGUCUACGCGGGUUCGAAUCCCGCCGGGUGCUCCA